Molecule: long non-coding RNA, 5701 nt
Organism: Amphiprion ocellaris (clown anemonefish)
Lineage: Eukaryota; Metazoa; Chordata; Actinopteri; Pomacentridae
Exons: 4
Source: RefSeq, a predicted model, not a curated record
CCUCCUAUUCUCCUGCUCAACACACACACAUUUACAUCUGACUGUUCUGUUUAUCGAUGACUCAAGCUUGCCGUUUUCUUUUCCGGAUACACAGUCAACACUGGAGCUCCGGCACCUCGGGGCCUAAUGGACUGAUCUCGACUGUUUACAGCUGUGCCCUUUUCUAGAAUGACUCACAAAGGAACAAAGAGGCCUCUGUGUGCACGAGAGGAGCUUUUCCUAUUCUCAUCAACAGGACCCACCAACACCAAAGAACUACAGACUCUUCACAACCUGCUCAAACUCUUGGUACAGGACCUCACCACACGGGUCAAGAAGGUUUCCAUCUCAUUUCUACUCUGAAGCUCACCUUCUCCUGCUCAAACUGCUGACAAAUGUUUCUGCUGCUCUAAAGUCUGGUCUCCAGAACUUCCUAAAAACUCUCAAAGUCUCUUCUGCUGCAGGUUGCUUUGUAGAACUGUUCCAGAAAACCUCACUAAACCACAUGGAGGAGCCUCAAGAUAGUCGUCCAAAUGAAACCAUACAAAAACCAAACUAUCACAACCCAAACACUAAAGUCUCCUGCAGCCUACCAGAGAACCUCUGAGAACAGAGAAUCAGGACAGGAACUCUUACCUUCUGGACAACCAACAUUGGUUCACAAACAAGAAUACAGAAUGUGUCUGACCAAAAACCUCUAAAGACUCACUACAGCCAAGAUAAAGACACAACUCAACUGCAGCAAAUCCACUAAUCACUGCACACAUUAGCACCAUGUGCUAACUGUGGCUAAAGAACCACAUUUACCAAGACAACUAUCCAGUACAAAGCCCUAAAACACACCAAGAAACACAUUAAAGACGAUUUUACUGCUGGAAGCUGCAAGCUAACGCCUAAAGAACAAGCUAAAGCAACAGAGCCAAACCCAUUUCAGUGAAGAGAAACAGAGGAAAUGUUUGUCUGCAGCUAAAUAAAGCAGGAAGACACUGAGCUGCUCAGGUGUUCCUGAUAACACCAAUCAGCCACCUGGACAGCCAAUAAGAACACAGCUUACUGGAAGUCCAGAGGGCUGGGUUAGUGAAGGAAAUUUAAUUUAAAGUUGAAGCAGAAAAUUAACAAAGAAAGUUGAAAACCACCUUCUGAUACCUGAAAUCUCUGAGUUUUCACACAAAGAACACCUGAACAUGUCAAACUGGUUCCAUAGUAGAACCAUCAUUGUAAAAACGUCAUAGUAUGGUGUGUUGCUCAAAAAACAUUAGGACCCGGCUGUCAGGGGACAAACAUGUAAGAAACAUGAGAACAGAGAGAACCCAACCAGUAGGUCACAGUUUAUCAUCCCCCAGUCAUCUCCUGAAGUCCAUAUGGUGAGAGACAUCAGUAUCUGGUUGUUCAUUUACCAGAGGAUGCUUAUAAUCAUGCUGAUGUGGUCUGUACUCUACAGUAUUUUAGUGACUCAAUAAAUGCCUAAGUUGUUUUUUUUUAAUGCUUUUUAGUUUUUAAUCAACAUUGAAGAGCCUAUAUGUGAUCAAUAAAUGGCCUUUGCCUAUCUUAAGAAAAAUUCACUCAGAACUCUGAUAUGUUAACAGUACUAAAUAAAUCAAUAAAUACAUGCAUACACACAAAAAUAAGUUAAUACAUUAACUGUGUUAAGAUAAGAUUUAGAUUUUUAAAAAAGUUGUUUAUGUUUUUGCAGAAUCCAGUAUUACUCACUGGUUGGUCAUUACAUUUUGUUAGUUUGAUUUCACUGUUUAAAAUGAUGCCACCUCUUUUCAGACAGAACCUGUGAUAAUAAAACAAUACAAAAUUUUUAGUUCUGUGUUAAUAAAGCACUUAAAGCUUUAAGUAUGGCUAAAUGCUUUUUUCAAAAUUAAAUAUAUCACUCCUUAGGUGGUAGUGGCCCCAAGUUCAGUAAAGUUGGAAAGAUAUUCACAGAUUCGGCUUCCAGCAUCAAUAACUCAUUAGAUAUCGGUUGUCAAAACAUAAACGGUGCCUCUUUCCCAUUGUUGCAAGGCAGACAAUGUGCUACAAGCCCAGUUUUAUCAAAAGUAGCUGUCUUUCAAGCUACAGGAAUAACAUUGGUGUCUAUGGAGUGAACAGGGUCCGUCUGCAAUUUGCAAAACCGCUGCAACAGUAAAGAGAGACAAAUAUUCAAUAACUUCACUCUUAUACAUUGUAGUGUCACUAAAAUCACUGCAGCCUUCAACUGGCUCCUGUUGACAAAGUGUUUUAACAGAAAUGUAAAUGCUGUAAUUUGAUUCUUUUAAUGAACCAUGUAACUUGAAUGGAUGUGAUGCUGGUGUGACCACAGUGCACACGUCUGAUGUUGCUCACAGUGGUCCAAGGAAUGCUCAGGGAGUUUGUGUGUUUGCUCAGACUCAUGAAAAAUUAGAGGGAACAUUGGUCAUGAGUGAUGUAAUUCAAAAAAUACUGAGAAAUGAUAUUAUUAUGCAUUGCAAUAUCGACAUCUCUUGGAAAGAAUCUGCAUUUUUGUUACGUUUCGUGUUUUUUAUUGAAAAAACAAACAUUUAAAUUAGGACGUGAACUCUUUAGCUGCAAGAUGAAUAAUAUUUUAACUUCACAGAUGUGUUACUGAAUAGAUAACACCACACAAAAUAUAUCAACAACAGCCAAUAACUCUAACAAGCAUACCAGUCAGCACAUCAACAGUAAGAUAUGAACAUUUGAAAUAUCUCUCCCAGUAAUAUAUACUUUACGCAACAGAGAACUUCUUGUUUUUUGUAACAUCUUUUUACUGCACAAAAGAAAGUAAGACCAUUGCACUGUUGUUUGGUCAUUUAGAGAUGAGGUUGGCCUUCUCGUUGUUUUUACACUGCGGUGAAUCAGGUAUAAGGACCCCUUCAUGGAGGACAGGUUGAGUUUGUAAUGCAGAGACCACACAGUCAAGAUCAGGACCUGCAACAACAGAAGAAAAGGAGGCAGGUUUGAGAUUUAAGCAAGCUUUAAAAUGUAAGUUGACCCUCUGAAGCCCAGGCAGGGUCUGGGUGUUGUUUGAUUAUGUCACAUUUUUACCAAUACUGGGAAAACAGUGACUCUAUCUAGGAUAAAUAUUUACUAUUUACAUUUUCUGUUUCUGUACUUACGUAAUAUCUGCUCUGUGUAAACACAGCAUGCAGUUCAGCCUAAAGGCUCCAAACUGUUGUCAUGUAGCUGUUGGUUGUUGCUGACUCACUAAUGGCUUCACAGUUGUAGCAAGAAGUGCAGAAUAUUUUGUUUUUUUUACAGAAUCUGGUUAGAGCAAAUGUUAUAUUUUUAGACAUUGUUUAAAUGUAGAAUAAGAUGAUAAAACAUCAAAAUAUUAAGCUUAGAUUGGCUUAAUUUUUUUUUUGAACUGCAGGUUACAGAUGAGUAGUUCAAGGGCUGUUAAAAAGUUGAAAAUUGUUGAUUUUUUCUGGUUUUGCAUUUUGUAGCUCUGAUAUAUGGCAUUAAUUUGGUGAUUUUUUAAAAAAUAUCCAGAGUUUCAAACCCGCUAGCACAGGGGUCCCCAACCACCGGGCCCCGGACCGGUACCGGGCCGCAAAGAAUGAAUAAUCGUGAUUAAAAUAUAUAUAUAAAAAAUACGUUUUUGCUUCCGGGUGUCUCAUUUUGAAAGACAACCACUUCCGCCCACGCCUAACUUCCGCGCUUGACUCUGGCGCGUAUUUAUCCUGCGUCAGCAAUGCAAGCUAGCCCUCGCAAAAUGAGCCAGAAACAGAGUUCACUGGAGAGUUUCUUUGGAAAGAGUAAACGAGACAACGAUGAGACAGCAGAAGGGUCACAGACUGCCUGCAAAAAGAAAGCUGCAUUUAAAAGAAAAUACCAAGAUUCCUACCUGAGUUACGGGUUCAUCGCAACAGGUGAUUCACAAGCCCCACACCCACUCUGUGUAAUAUGCGGUGACAGACUUGCUAAUGAAGCCAUGAAACCAUCAAAACUACGCCGCCACAUGGAGACAAAACACCCAGCAUUGAAAGAAAAGCCCUUAGAAUAUUUUGAAAGAAAAAAACGGGAACAUGAAGGACAGAAACAAUUAUUGAAGGCCACUACUUCAACAAAUGUGUCCGCGCUAAAAGCAUCAUUCCUGGUCGCGGACCGCAUUGCUAAAGCUGAGACGCCUUUUACUAUUGGGGAAGAAUUGAUUUGGCCUGCUACAAAGGACAUUUGCUGCGAACUUUUCGGAGAGGCUGCAGUAAAAAAGGUCGAAAACAUACCCCUUUCGGCGAGCACCGUAAUGCACCGUGUUUGCACGGACGGAGAGGCUGCGAUGACUGGGCGGCUUUCAGGUUUCAAGAGAUGGAUGCAGAACAUAGACGCCUUCUCUUGUACACAGAAGUGAGAUGGCUUUCAAGAGGUAAAUCGCUGGCAAGAGUUUUUGAGUUAAGAGAGUCACUGCAGAGAUUUUUCUUGGAAAAACAGUCACCACUGGCAGCAUACUUCAGUGACGCUGAUUAGAUCUCGAAACUUGCUUACCUGUGUGGCAUUUUUAACCUGCUCAAUGAACUCAAUCUCUCACUUCAGGGGAAAAUGACAACCGUUUUCAGGUUGGCAGAUAAGGUUGCAGCAUUCAAAGCCAAACUGGAGUUAUGGAGACGGAGAGUGAACACAGGGAUAUUUGACGUUUCACAUAUAGCAGGGAUUAUGGAAGAGACUGAGUUUGGACCUUCAUUCACCCAGUUAGUGCAUGAUCACCUGUUGCAGCUUUCAAAAGAGUUUGAGCAUUAUUUCCCCAUCGCAAAAGACCCCAGGCUGGGGAAGGAAUGGAUCCAGAACCCAUUUGUGAACAAGCCAGGGGAAUCAACUUUAACCCUACAAGAAGAGGAACAACUAGUUGAGGUUGCAAAUGAUGGUGGCCUUCAAUCCAUGUUUGAAACAACUUCAAAUCUCUUUGCAUUCUGGAGUAAAGUCAAAGCAGAACAUCCUGACAUUGCCACAAAAGCACUGAAAGUCCUGCUUCCAUUUUCAACCUCUUUGUGAGGCGGGGUUUUCUCCAGUGACAGCAACAAAAACAAGACUACGGAGUAGGCUGGAUAUAAGGAAUACAAUUCGAGUGUCAUUGUCUCCCAUCACCCCCAGAUGGGACCGUCCAGUUGCGGGAAAACAAGCCCAGAGCUCCCACUGAUUCUACAUUUUGAUGAAGACGAACUCCCCCUGAAACAAAGAAGUCCAAGGACAGUGCGUCCUCUGAGUGCACAGAUAGAAUUGGUAUCAGCCCAUCUCCUGGUGAGAUAAAAGGUCUGCACACCAGCCUCCUUAAAUAAGAAGAUGCUUUGUAGGAUGUAUCCUUUUAAAAAUGUCAAUGUGAUUCAAUUGGUGAGUCAUAUGAUGUCAGAAACUGGCUUUAUAGCUUCACUUAAGUUGCUUUAACCUUAAUAAAAGUAAACGUGGUUGGAGAUCCUUCAAGGAAAUGCAAACUGGGUGUUUGUAUCAGAAACUGUACAGAAACAGAUACUGAAACUGGAACUUCAGAGCCAGUGUGCAUAUAGCUGCUACAGUAAUAGUUUUAGAGAUGUUAGAGAAAUUAUUGUGUCACUAAAGGCAAUAAGGUAACAGCAGCAGUAUUAGUAGGUGUAGUAGUAAAAGUCAUGCAAUAAUAGCAGCAGUAACAACAAUAUAAGUAGUAAUUGAUCAUAGGAAGUAGGACACAGCUAUGAUGAGUAGUACAGUGUAGUUUGAAGGCAGUUUUUCUGUGAUAUUAAUGCUGCUGAGGAUACAGUUUUACCUGAGA